GUGGUAAUUUCAGCUUAUUAUUCUUCCAUAGCGUACGCCACCCCCUAUUAUCAAGGAUGGCGUACGCUACCGCACUAGUUAAUUCGUAUAAGAAGAGCUGCAAAGCUUAGAAGCUUUGAACAGCUCAAGCAACCUUUGAACUACAUCUGUAAAGCAGCCGAUUGUGGACUGAGAUUGUGCUCCGCAUGCCACUAUUAUAGGCAUAAAGGAAUAUCGCGCCCUGUCAAGAGCUUCUCGCGUUGUUUUCGUUAUCAAGUUUCGUUCGUUGUGUGACAGAUGCACUGCUUCCCCGUUGGACCCUUGGGUUGCCAAUCCAGACACCCCAGCCAUGGCCAUACAAACCGCAUGGCUGGAAAAUAGUAUCUAGGUCCAGGUCAUCAGAUAUUUCUUCGAAGAAAGUUACUGUUGGAACAUAGAUCCUUGGUUUUAGUGGCCGUGAUAUAUGAUUAUGGCUUACUUCAAGGGAAGCGUUGGAAAAUGCCGUGGCUGUACUCUGAUGAGUGAACGCCGUUUGGAGCAGCUCCCCGCCCUGUAAGAUGUCCUGCCUGGUUGUAGUUGUGGCCGGGUGAAGAGGCGUCGUUAUGAGGAGGCAUCUGGCCCGCGGUGGUUCGAAGUUCCCGUCAAAGUGAAAGUACAAGGAAACAAACAAAUAAUAAAAUAGGAGAAUAAGAGUACCGAAAUAAGUUAAGUCACCCAGAAAAAAAAAAAAAAAAUAAAGUUCCUGGGAAACUUGCCCUGCUUAAGGGAACUUCAACAAUGUUGCUCAAUCUAGUUACCUCCAUCCGCCCGUUGGCCUUUGUCCAAUUAACCCUGUUUCCUGAGUCAUUAACAACGAGGGAUCUAUUCAGCUGUCACUCAAGUAACCGGAGGAGUCGGUUUGUCUGUCGCUGCCCACGGGGGCAUUGAAGUAGCCAUUAAUAACUAGAGGAUGUAGCGAAGCAAGAUCAUCUGUUCCAUACAGAAUAGCGCUGCAGGGAGUCCUGCAUUUGGGCAUUGGUCAACACCUUGCAGCAGCUCGUGGAGAAUUGCGUGGUAGAAGCUUUUUGAUGCGUGGGGGUUAAGUUAGGUGACGACCAGGAGACUCCGGUUGAUAACGGUUUGCAAAGUUGCGGUUUGAUGGGAAUAUAAGGAAUGAGGCGAAGCGAAGUGUAGGAUAUCUAAUAUAUAUAUCUAGAGCUCAACAUAAAAAGCAGUCGCAGGGAAAAGCCAUACAAGCGAGGGUAUCAGACGAGAACAUAGAAAAACAGAAACA
This 1252-nucleotide small RNA is filed under the name Histoplasma ohiense. RNAcentral's name for it is "hypothetical lncRNA". The record is from RNAcentral. Lineage: Eukaryota; Fungi; Ascomycota; Eurotiomycetes; Onygenales; Ajellomycetaceae.